RNAcentral lists this ribosomal RNA (547 nucleotides) under Didymella glomerata. RNAcentral's name for it is "eukaryotic LSU rRNA". The stretch from base 173 to 326 matches the Rfam family "5.8S ribosomal RNA". Lineage: Eukaryota; Fungi; Ascomycota; Dothideomycetes; Pleosporales; Didymellaceae. The record is from RNAcentral.
CUUCCGUAGGUGAACCUGCGGAAGGAUCAUUACCUAGAGUUGUAGGCUUUGCCUGCUAUCUCUUACCCAUGUCUUUUAAGUACCUUACGUUUCCUCGGCGGGUCCGCCCGCCGAUUGGACAAUUUAAACCAUUUGCAGUUGCAAUCAGCGUCUGAAAAAACUUAAUAGUUACAACUUUCAACAACGGAUCUCUUGGUUCUGGCAUCGAUGAAGAACGCAGCGAAAUGCGAUAAGUAGUGUGAAUUGCAGAAUUCAGUGAAUCAUCGAAUCUUUGAACGCACAUUGCGCCCCUUGGUAUUCCAUGGGGCAUGCCUGUUCGAGCGUCAUUUGUACCUUCAAGCUCUGCUUGGUGUUGGGUGUUUGUCUCGCCUCUGCGUGUAGACUCGCCUCAAAACAAUUGGCAGCCGGCGUAUUGAUUUCGGAGCGCAGUACAUCUCGCGCUUUGCACUCAUAACGACGACGUCCAAAAGUACAUUUUUACACUCUUGACCUCGGAUCAGGUAGGGAUACCCGCUGAACUUAAGCAUAUCAAUAGGCCGGAGGAAGA